Molecule: ribosomal RNA, 482 nt
Filed under: uncultured bacterium
Lineage: Bacteria
Description: bacterial SSU rRNA
Rfam family: Bacterial small subunit ribosomal RNA
Source: RNAcentral
AGAGUUUGAUCAUGGCUCAGGACGAACGCUGGCGGCGUGCUUAACACAUGCAAGUCGAACGGUAAGGCCCUUCGGGGCACACGAGUGGCGAACGGGUGAGUAACACGUGGGUGAUCUGCCCUGCACUUCGGGAUAAGCCUGGGAAACUGGGUCUAAUACCGGAUAGGACUCCUGGCUUCAUGGUUGGGGGUGUAAAGCUUUUGCGGUGUGGGAUGGGCCCGCGGCCUAUCAGCUUGUUGGUGGGGUAAUGGCCUACCAAGGCGACGACGGGUAGCCGGCCUGAGAGGGUGACCGGCCACACUGGGACUGAGAUACGGCCCAGACUCCUACGGGAGGCAGCAGUGGGGAAUAUUGCACAAUGGGCGCAAGCCUGAUGCAGCGACGCCGCGUGAGGGAUGACGGCCUUCGGGUUGUAAACCUCUUUCAAUAGGGACGAAGCGCAAGUGACGGUACCUAUAGAAGAAGGACCGGCCAACUACGUG